Dreissena polymorpha is the source of this 1058-nucleotide long non-coding RNA. RefSeq lists it as uncharacterized. The record is from RefSeq and is a predicted model, not a curated record. The transcript has 3 exons. NCBI's taxonomy places the organism in Eukaryota, Metazoa, Mollusca, Bivalvia, Myida, Dreissenidae.
AGUAAACAUCGCGGGAAUAUUACGUUUGUUUAUUUCCGAGGAACGAACACAAAACUCCAUUCUGCGUGGAAUGUUCGAGCGAUGAAAAAGAGGCCCUUGACGUACCGUAUUGAUGAUGUUCACAAUCAGCGUCUCUCUGACGGUGGACACGGAGUCGCCGCACGUGUUCUCGGCGUUCACGGCUCCGGAACUUUUGAAAUCGAAUCCGCCCGGUUUAUGGGCGUACACCAGAUUUGACAGAUGACAUCAAGCAGAUAUGACGUCAUCAGAAUCUUUAAGGCUGAAUGAGUUUAGCUCCAGAGCGGAGACGGAAGUGUCUUCUAGGAACUGAUAUGACGUCGUAGGAAACGACGUUAGAACUGGGUCCUACGAGGAAAUGGAUUUUAAAAUAAAUUUCAUUUACAAUUGCAAAAUGGUUUAUAACCGUGUAUUGCUUUCCCCGAGAUUAAAUAAAGAGACCUCUGGAAGCAAAAGAUGAAGCGUUACCACUUUGUUAGGCUUGCUGAAGAAAAUAUGAGAAGAAAACCGCUUUUUUGAUAAGUUUUUGCGCAUUCUCGAGAAAAAAAAGCGUUACAAAAUCUGUUAUUAUUUUUUAAUUUACGCGUGAUGAAUAGCCAUAAAUGAAACAAUAUCUCCUUUAAACAUAUAGUAAAAUUCUUCUUAGAAUCUAUAACAAUUAUUUUGAAAACCGUCAUUUAACCAAACUUUGAAUGAAAAGUUAUUUUUAAGGUCAACCACGAUUCCGGUAUCCUACAGACGUACCUCAUCAACGAUAUUGACGUUGAAAGUCCCGGUGAUGACGUUGACGGGGUUGCCGUCAGUACACCGUAUCGUUAACGUCAACGGCACGGCCUGGUCGUUGAAGUCGAUGGCAGCUUCAGUCACGGUGCUAGAGAUCCUGACUUCAAAUUCUAGGAAUUAAACAGCACAAAAAAUCAUUUGCUUGUGCGCAUAACGAGAGUAUUUCAUCGAAAAAAGAGACAUUAAAAAAAUUACAAAUAAUCACACUUGUCACACAUACUUUCAAUAGCUUAUGAAAAACGAAGAUUUUCAAAGAU